RNAcentral lists this ribosomal RNA (1721 nucleotides) under Escherichia coli. RNAcentral describes it as "partial 23S ribosomal RNA". It matches the Rfam family "Bacterial large subunit ribosomal RNA", at positions 1239 to 2925 of the family's 2925-position model. The record is from RNAcentral. Lineage: Bacteria; Pseudomonadati; Pseudomonadota; Gammaproteobacteria; Enterobacterales; Enterobacteriaceae.
UUCUGUAAGCCUGUGAAGGUGGCCUGUGAGGGUUGCUGGAGGUAUCAGAAGUGCGAAUGCUGACAUAAGUAACGAUAAAGCGGGUGAAAAGCCCGCUCGCCGGAAGACCAAGGGUUCCUGUCCAACGUUAAUCGGGGCAGGGUGAGUCGACCCCUAAGGCGAGGCCGAAAGGCGUAGUCGAUGGGAAACAGGUUAAUAUUCCUGUACUUGGUGUUACUGCGAAGGGGGGACGGAGAAGGCUAUGUUGGCCGGGCGACGGUUGUCCCGGUUUAAGCGUGUAGGCUGGUUUUCCAGGCAAAUCCGGAAAACCAAGGCUGAGGCGUGAUGACGAGGCACUACGGUGCUGAAGCGACAAAUGCCCUGCUUCCAGGAAAAGCCUCUAAGCAUCAGGUAACAUCAAAUCGUACCCCAAACCGACACAGGUGGUCAGGUAGAGAAUACCAAGGCGCUUGAGAGAACUCGGGUGAAGGAACUAGGCAAAAUGGUGCCGUAACUUCGGGAGAAGGCACGCUGAUAUGUAGGUGAAGCGACUUGCUCGUGGAGCUGAAAUCAGUCGAAGAUACCAGCUGGCUGCAACUGUUUAUUAAAAACACAGCACUGUGCAAACACGAAAGUGGACGUAUACGGUGUGACGCCUGCCCGGUGCCGGAAGGUUAAUUGAUGGGGUUAGCGGUAACGCGAAGCUCUUGAUCGAAGCCCCGGUAAACGGCGGCCGUAACUAUAACGGUCCUAAGGUAGCGAAAUUCCUUGUCGGGUAAGUUCCGACCUGCACGAAUGGCGUAAUGAUGGCCAGGCUGUCUCCACCCGAGACUCAGUGAAAUUGAACUCGCUGUGAAGAUGCAGUGUACCCGCGGCAAGACGGAAAGACCCCGUGAACCUUUACUAUAGCUUGACACUGAACAUUGAGCCUUGAUGUGUAGGAUAGGUGGGAGGCUUUGAAGUGUGGACGCCAGUCUGCAUGGAGCCGACCUUGAAAUACCACCCUUUAAUGUUUGAUGUUCUAACGUUGGCCCCUAAUCGGGGUUGCGGACAGUGUCUGGUGGGUAGUUUGACUGGGGCGGUCUCCUCCUAAAGAGUAACGGAGGAGCACGAAGGUUGGCUAAUCCUGGUCGGACAUCAGGAGGUUAGUGCAAUGGCAUAAGCCAGCUUGACUGCGAGCGUGACGGCGCGAGCAGGUGCGAAAGCAGGUCAUAGUGAUCCGGUGGUUCUGAAUGGAAGGGCCAUCGCUCAACGGAUAAAAGGUACUCCGGGGAUAACAGGCUGAUACCGCCCAAGAGUUCAUAUCGACGGCGGUGUUUGGCACCUCGAUGUCGGCUCAUCACAUCCUGGGGCUGAAGUAGGUCCCAAGGGUAUGGCUGUUCGCCAUUUAAAGUGGUACGCGAGCUGGGUUUAGAACGUCGUGAGACAGUUCGGUCCCUAUCUGCCGUGGGCGCUGGAGAACUGAGGGGGGCUGCUCCUAGUACGAGAGGACCGGAGUGGACGCAUCACUGGUGUUCGGGUUGUCAUGCCAAUGGCACUGCCCGGUAGCUAAAUGCGGAAGAGAUAAGUGCUGAAAGCAUCUAAGCACGAAACUUGCCCCGAGAUGAGUUCUCCCUGAGACUUAGAGUCUCCUGAAGGAACGUUGAAGACGACGACGUUGAUAGGCCGGGUGUGUAAGCGCAGCGAUGCGUUGAGCUAACCGGUACUAAUGAACCGUGAGGCUUAACCUUACAACGCCGAAG